CUCAAAGUACUAUGACCAAAUUGCUUAUUAUUAACCGUAGAGAUGUCACUAUACAUCUCAUAUGUUGUCAAGUAUUGAAACGUACCUGAAAAAUUGAAAGAGGGGAGUAAGAAGGGUGAGAUUAGCAGUCAAGUAGUAGCAAGAAUAAGAACCAGCAGCAGUGAUAACCCAGGAAUCCCAUAUGCAGCCCAGAACAGAUUCAAAAUUGCCUAAAACUUACUCAAAACCUCCAAACAAAACUCUUAAGACCCCAAAACUCAAAUUGUUUUAACCAAAAUGGACCAGAAAUUACUUGAGGAAUCAAAAAUGAAAGAAUCUUAGGGAAAAUUCAUUCAAA
RNAcentral lists this long non-coding RNA (337 nucleotides) under Nicotiana benthamiana. Its description in RNAcentral is "long non-coding RNA (NBEN_LNC010282)". The record is from RNAcentral. Lineage: Eukaryota; Viridiplantae; Streptophyta; Magnoliopsida; Solanales; Solanaceae.